CAGAGUUCAUGCCCUAACGGGUAGACCUCCCACCCUUGUGUAAUUAUACUUUGUUGCUUUGGCGAGUUGCUGAGGAUGUCACGUCCAAGGCCUCAGGCUCUCGUAGCCUGUAGAGUCACUCGCCGAAGGAAACCUAAACUCUGAAUGUUAGUGUCGUCUGAGUGCUAUAUAAUAGUUA
This 178-nucleotide unclassified non-coding RNA is filed under the name uncultured Rutstroemiaceae. Its description in RNAcentral is "sequence contains ITS1". The record is from RNAcentral. Lineage: Eukaryota; Fungi; Ascomycota; Leotiomycetes; Helotiales; Rutstroemiaceae.